RNAcentral lists this small nuclear RNA (162 nucleotides) under Tupaia belangeri (northern tree shrew). RNAcentral's name for it is "U1 spliceosomal RNA (ENSTBEG00000019084.1)". It matches the Rfam family "U1 spliceosomal RNA". Rfam says of the family: U1 is a small nuclear RNA (snRNA) component of the spliceosome (involved in pre-mRNA splicing). Its 5' end forms complementary base pairs with the 5' splice junction, thus defining the 5' donor site of an intron. The record is from RNAcentral. Lineage: Eukaryota; Metazoa; Chordata; Mammalia; Scandentia; Tupaiidae.
AUACUUACCUGGCAGGGGAGAUACCAUGAUCAUGAAGGUGGUUCUCCCAGGGUGAGGCUUAUCCAUUGCACUCCCGAUGUGCUGACCCCUGCGAUUUCCCCAAAUGUGGGAAACUUGACCGCAUAAUUUGUGGUGGGGGGCCCAUGUUCGUGCUUUCCCCUG